RNAcentral lists this ribosomal RNA (813 nucleotides) under uncultured bacterium. RNAcentral describes it as "bacterial SSU rRNA". It matches the Rfam family "Bacterial small subunit ribosomal RNA", at positions 135 to 942 of the family's 1533-position model. The record is from RNAcentral.
AGUGGGGGACAACAUUCCGAAAGGAAUGCUAAUACCGCAUACGUCCUACGGGAGAAAGCAGGGGAUCUUCGGACCUUGCGCUAAUAGAUGAGCCUAAGUCGGAUUAGCUAGUUGGUGGGGUAAAGGCCUACCAAGGCGACGAUCUGUAGCGGGUCUGAGAGGAUGAUCCGCCACACUGGGACUGAGACACGGCCCAGACUCCUACGGGAGGCAGCAGUGGGGAAUAUUGGACAAUGGGGGGAACCCUGAUCCAGCCAUGCCGCGUGUGUGAAGAAGGCCUUAUGGUUGUAAAGCACUUUAAGCGAGGAGGAGGCUACUGAGACUAAUACUCUUGGAUAGUGGACGUUACUCGCAGAAUAAGCACCGGCUAACUCUGUGCCAGCAGCCGCGGUAAUACAGAGGGUGCGAGCGUUAAUCGGAUUUACUGGGCGUAAAGCGUGCGUAGGCGGCUUUUUAAGUCGGAUGUGAAAUCCCCGAGCUUAACUUGGGAAUUGCAUUCGAUACUGGGAAGCUAGAGUAUGGGAGAGGAUGGUAGAAUUCCAGGUGUAGCGGUGAAAUGCGUAGAGAUCUGGAGGAAUACCGAUGGCGAAGGCAGCCAUCUGGCCUAAUACUGACGCUGAGGUACGAAAGCAUGGGGAGCAAACAGGAUUAGAUACCCUGGUAGUCCAUGCCGUAAACGAUGUCUACUAGCCGUUGGGGCCUUUGAGGCUUUAGUGGCGCAGCUAACGCGAUAAGUAGACCGCCUGGGGAGUACGGUCGCAAGACUAAAACUCAAAUGAAUUGACGGGGGCCCGCACAAGCGGUGGAGCAUGU